GGCAGUGUAGCACAGUGGCUAAAGGAACUGGGCUUGUGACCGAAAGGUCACAGGUUCGAUUCCUGGGUAGGACACUGCCG
This 80-nucleotide transfer RNA is filed under the name Anguilla anguilla (European eel). RNAcentral's name for it is "tRNA-OTHER". Lineage: Eukaryota; Metazoa; Chordata; Actinopteri; Anguilliformes; Anguillidae. The record is from RNAcentral.